GGGCGUGUGGCUCAGUUGGUAGAGCGUUCGCUUAGCAUACUUAUAACAUUCUUAUCUUCAGAUUGUCUCUUGUAUGCGAAAGGUCCUGGGUUCGAUUCCCAGCUCGUCCA
RNAcentral lists this transfer RNA (110 nucleotides) under Neurospora tetraspora. RNAcentral describes it as "tRNA-Ala". It matches the Rfam family "tRNA". From Rfam's summary of the family: Transfer RNA (tRNA) molecules are approximately 80 nucleotides in length. Their secondary structure includes four short double-helical elements and three loops (D, anti-codon, and T loops). Further hydrogen bonds mediate the characteristic L-shaped molecular structure. tRNAs have two regions of fundamental functional importance: the anti-codon, which is responsible for specific mRNA codon recognition, and the 3' end, to which the tRNAs corresponding amino acid is attached (by aminoacyl-tRNA synthetases). tRNAs cope with the degeneracy of the genetic code in two manners: having more than one tRNA (with a specific anti-codon) for a particular amino acid; and 'wobble' base-pairing, i.e. permitting non-standard base-pairing at the 3rd anti-codon position. Lineage: Eukaryota; Fungi; Ascomycota; Sordariomycetes; Sordariales; Sordariaceae. The record is from RNAcentral. RNAcentral also lists the same sequence under 1 other name.